This 305-nucleotide ribosomal RNA is filed under the name uncultured bacterium. RNAcentral describes it as "bacterial SSU rRNA". It matches the Rfam family "Bacterial small subunit ribosomal RNA", at positions 333 to 655 of the family's 1533-position model. The record is from RNAcentral.
UGGGCCCUACGGGACGCAGCAGUGGGGAAUAUUGCACGAUGGGGGAAACCCUGAUGCAGCGACGCCGCGCGAAGGAUGAAGUAUUUCGGUAUGUAAACUUCUAUCAGCAGGGAAGAAAAUGACGGUACCUGACUAAGAAGCCCCGGCUAACUACGUGCCAGCAGCCGCGGUAAUACGUAUGGUGCAAGCGUUAUCCGGAUUUACUGGGUGUAAAGGGAGCGCAGGCGGCGCGUUAAGCCUGGUGUGAAAGCCCGCGGCCCAACCGCGGGACUGCAUUGGGAACUGGCGCGCUGGAGUGCCGGAGG